AUGCUCUCUUUGCUAUGUUUUGGCACAAAGAGCCAGACAUCAAGUACUGAGUGUGCACAAUCAGCAAGACGUUUGCCAAACCAGGCUAGUAUAUGUAUUUUCAGGCACGAAGAGAACCUGCUGGACUACACUAAUCCAAACAAUGAUACACUCAUGGUCAGACUUGCAAAUGGCCGUCUGCUCACCGAAUGUCGCAUCAUGCUAGGAACUGACAAGAGGGCCACUAUAACCACCAACUGGUCUGAGUUUUGUCGCCGCACCAACAUUCACGAAGGAGACAUCUGUGCAUUUCAUUUCAGGAUCACUUCAAAGUGCCGCCUGGUUCUCACCGUGCACCGCCUCUAG
Molecule: ribosomal RNA, 345 nt
Filed under: Triticum aestivum (bread wheat)
Lineage: Eukaryota; Viridiplantae; Streptophyta; Magnoliopsida; Poales; Poaceae
Description: partial small subunit ribosomal RNA
Source: RNAcentral